CAGAUGAGCUUGCGUACCAUUAGCUAGUUGGUAGGGUAAUGGCCUACCAAGGCUACGAUGGGUAGCUGGUCUGAGAGGAUGAUCAGCCACACUGGAACUGAGACACGGUCCAGACUCCUACGGGAGGCAGCAGUGGGGAAUCUUCCGCAAUGGCCGCGUGAGCGAAGAAGGUUUUCGGAUUGUAAAGCUCUGUGAUAUUGGACGAACGAUUUCCCGUAAAUAAUGGGAAAGAAUGACGGUACAAUAAGAGGAAGCCACGGCUAACUACGUGCCAGCAGCCGCGGUAAUACGUAGGUGGCAAACGUUGUCCGGAAUUACUGGGCGUAAAGGGCGAGUAGGUGGUUUGCUAAUCAGAAGUGAAAACUCCAGGCUCAACUUGGAGACUGCUCUACGAAACUGGUAGACUUGAGUGCAAGAGAGGGAAGUGGAAUUCCUAGUGUAGCGGUGAAAUGCGUAGAUAUUAGGAGGAACACCAGUGGCGAAGGCGACUUCCUGGCCUGUAACUGACGCUGAGGCACGAAAGCGUGGGGAGCAAAUAGGAUUAGAUACCCUAGUAGUCCACGCUGUAAACGAUGAAUACUAAGUGUUGGAGUCUUAAAGGGUCGGUGCCACAGCUAACGCAAUAAGCACUCCGCCUGGGGAGUACGGUCGCAAGACUGAAACUCAAAGGAAUUGACGGGGGCCCGCACAAGCGGUGGAGUAUGUGUUUAAUUCGACGCGAAGAACCUUACCAAGGCUUGACAUCCUGUGACAGCUAUAGAAAUAUAGACUUCUUAGUUUACUUGCACACGGAGACAGGUGGUGCAUGGUUGUCGUCAGCUCGUGUCGUGAGAUGUUGGGUUAAGUCCCGCAACGAGCGCAACCCCUACAGCUAGUUGCCAGCACAUAAUGGUGGGAACUCUAGCAGAACUGCCGUUGACAAAACGGAGGAAGGUGGGGAUGACGUCAAAUCAUCAUGCCCCUUAUGUCUUGGGCUACACACGUACUACAAUGGCCUGAACAGAGGGAAGCGAAACUGCGAAGUUAAGCGAACCCCUUAAAACAGGUCCCAGUUCGGAUUGUAGGCUGCAACUCGCCUACAUGAAGUCGGAAUCGCUAGUAAUCGCAGGUCAGCAUACUGCGGUGAAUACGUUCCCGGGCCUUGUACACACCGCCCGUCACACCAUGGGAGUUGGGAGCGCCCGAAGUCAGUAUCCUAACCGUAAGGAGGGAGCUGCCGAAGGCGAGAUCAAUGACUGGGGUGAAGUCGUAACAAGGUAACC
RNAcentral lists this ribosomal RNA (1262 nucleotides) under uncultured bacterium. RNAcentral's name for it is "bacterial SSU rRNA". It matches the Rfam family "Bacterial small subunit ribosomal RNA", at positions 222 to 1501 of the family's 1533-position model. The record is from RNAcentral.